UUUUUUUUUUCCCAGAGCAUCACAGAAUAUUCAGGGUUGGAAGGGACCUCUGGAAACCAUCCAGUGCAGCCAGGGUCACCUGGAGCAGAUUUCAGAAGCCAGAGUGAAGGACUUGCCAUAAAGAGGACUCUGGAAAACUCUGUGCCAGAGCUGAUACCAGCCAGGAAGUUGAAAAUACGAAGGAAAUCCAUCGAAAGAAAUGAAAAUAUUUUUGUUUCGUUUCGUUUCUGGCGUUCACACAACGCACCAUAAUAGAAAGAGGAAUAUUUCCUUUAAUUUGAAUGUCAUCUGAAUGACUCAACCACAUUGUCACCCACUUAAGCAAAAGAAAGCAUAAUAAAUAAAUAAAUAAAUAGACAAGAAUAUGCAACACU
Molecule: long non-coding RNA, 374 nt
Organism: Melospiza georgiana
Lineage: Eukaryota; Metazoa; Chordata; Aves; Passeriformes; Passerellidae
Exons: 3
Source: RefSeq, a predicted model, not a curated record